Molecule: ribosomal RNA, 301 nt
Filed under: uncultured bacterium
Lineage: Bacteria
Description: partial 16S ribosomal RNA
Rfam family: Bacterial small subunit ribosomal RNA
Source: RNAcentral
CAGUCGCCGCGGUAAUACGUAGGGUGCAAGCGUUAAUCGGAAUUACUGGGCGUAAAGCGUGCGCAGGCGGUUAUAUAAGACAGAUGUGAAAUCCCCGGGCUCAACCUGGGAACUGCAUUUGUGACUGUAUAGCUAGAGUACGGCAGAGGGGGAUGGAAUUCCGCGUGUAGCAGUGAAAUGCGUAGAUAUGCGGAGGAACACCGAUGGCGAAGGCAAUCCCCUGGGCCUGUACUGACGCUCAUGCACGAAAGCGUGGGGAGCAAACAGGAUUAGAUACACCUGUAGUCCCUGUCUCUUAUAC